GAUGAAGAACGUAGCGAAAUGCGAUAAGUAAUGUGAAUUGCAGAAUUCAGUGAAUCAUCGAAUCUUUGAACGCACCUUGCGCCCUUUGGCUAUUCCGAAGGGCAUGCCUGUUUGAGUAUCAUGAACACCUCAACUCUCAUGGUUUGCCAUGAUGAGCUUGGACUUUGGGGGUCUUGCCGGCCUAUGGGUCGGCUCCUCUCAAAUUAAUCAGCUCGCCAGUGUUUGGUGGCAUCACAGGUGUGAUAACUAUCUACGCUUGUGGUUUUCCAUCAGGUAACCUUCAGUGAUGGAGGUUCGCUGGGGCUCAUAAAUGUCUCUCCUCAGUGAGGACAGCUUUUUUGAACGUUUGAUCUCAAAUCAGGUAGGACUACCCGCUGAACUUAAGCAUAUCAAUAAGCGGAGGA
RNAcentral lists this unclassified non-coding RNA (404 nucleotides) under soil metagenome. RNAcentral's name for it is "partial contains 5.8S ribosomal RNA, internal transcribed spacer 2, and large subunit ribosomal RNA". The stretch from base 1 to 121 matches the Rfam family "5.8S ribosomal RNA", at positions 35 to 154 of the family's 154-position model. The record is from RNAcentral.